UUUGGAAUCUUGCCCAAUGGGGGAAACCCUGAGGCAGCGACGCCGCGUGGAGGAUGAAGGAUCUAGGUCUGUAAACUCCUUUUAUCGGGAAAGACUUAGGACGGUACCCGAUGAAUAAGCACCGGCUAACUACGUGCCAGCAGCCGCGGUAAGACGUAGGGUGCAAGCGUUGUCCGGAUUUACUGGGCGUAAAGGACGCGUAGGCGGUUCGUUAAGUGUGAAGUGAAAUCUCCAGGGCUCAACCCGGAAACUGCUUUACAUACUGGCGGACUGGAGGGAUGCAGAGGUAAGUAGAAUUCCUGGUGUAGCGGUGAAAUGCGUUGAUAUCAGGAGGAAUACCGAUGGCGAAGGCAGCUUACUGGGCAUCAUCUGACGCUGAGGCGUGAAAGCGUGGGUAGCA
Molecule: ribosomal RNA, 400 nt
Filed under: uncultured bacterium
Lineage: Bacteria
Description: bacterial SSU rRNA
Rfam family: Bacterial small subunit ribosomal RNA
Source: RNAcentral